CUUCAGCUGCUAGCGGUCCAUCACGUCCAUUGAACCGUGGCGGAUUAUUGUUCCGAAAUCGCUCUACCGCUUGAUCUAUCGUGUUAGAGGUCUGGUUUAGGUCACGUUGUGUGGCCUGAGUUUGGGUUUGGUGCUGGACAAAACCCUGUAAAGCACUCAGAAAUUGACCCAUGAAGUCUCCUCCAUUAGUUGGAUGAGGUUGUUCUGCUUCUGCUUCGGAAUUGGUAUUUGAGUUCUCGGCGUGGUGGGAAUGUGCACGCGUAUUCCUCAUGGUUCUAUAAUCAAAGGCACUAUGACAUAAAUGAAAGAUUAUAAAACAAGGUUAUUCCUAAUUCGAGGACUAUGUUCAACAUGAAAAUUUUAAACUCAUCAAAACUCAAUAUCAUGCACUGUAAAAUUCCGAAAUAAAAUUCAUGGCUGCAAUAAUUUUCAACAUAAUAACUUGCAUACUGAACUUGAACUUUCUGAUAAUAACUUCAACUAUUGCAGCAAAAUUCAACAUAAAUUUCGGAAUAUAAACAGUUUAUACUCAUCCCCUUGAAAACUUUUAAAAUAACUUUUACCUUGAAGUCGGAGCGCGUAGUGGUCGAAUGGCUUCGUCACAAAUGACUUGAAAAUAUUUUAAGAAAAACAUUUUAUUUUGCAGAGUCUACAGGAAAGUAGACCUGCUCUGAUACCAUGCUGUAACACCCUAAUCUAAUUAAAGUGUUAAAUAUGAAUUUAAAUAAUUUUUGACAGCGAAAAUAUCAUAAAAUAAAGAUUUGGAUUUAUUUUCAAAUAAAUAAAUUUUUAAAUAAAAUAUUUGAAAUAACUUAAAAAGAAGGCCAGCCAUGAUAGGAAGCUAAUAUGAUAACACUAAACUCGAUAAGUUACACCAAAAUCUCAAGAGUAGUUUGAGACUUCGAAAACUGUACAAAGCAAAAGGUUAGGUGUAACUACAACAUUAUAUUUUCCAAAAAUAUUUACUUGACGCGCUCAUUCGAUCCUCUACGCGUCUCCAACCUUAGUUACCUGAAAAUGUUAAAUAUGGGAUGAGCAUAUGAAAUAUACUCAGUGUGGGAACAUGCAAUAAUUGUCCACGUUAAUAAAAUGGUCAACACAUAAGCACUGCACUGUAAUACUGAUAACUGAAAUUCGCACGGUGGCAUACCAAGGACUUUAAAGUCCUGGACCCAUUGAGUGGGCCCCUGGCGAAUAGGUUGCAACCCUAACUGUAACAUGAAAUCGCAUUGUGGCAUACCAAGGACGGUGAAGUCCUGGACCCAUUGAGCGGGCCCCUAGCGAUAUAACUGAAUUUACAACACAUAUGGCAAACACAUAAUAUUAAAAUGGACAAAAAUUACCACGGCAUGUACUGAAUAAAUCCCACACCUGUAACUUGAACUUGAAAAUUACUGCUAGAAAUGUAAAGUUCACGUUCCUAGUCGCGCCGCACCUAGUCAGAUAAAUUCAAAUAGUAACAUAAGGGCCUAAUUGAACUUUACAAAAUACCUUAAUAUAACUAAACUUGAGAAAACUAAUUUAUAAAAGUCUUUUCAAUAAAAUUUGAACUGAAAAAAAAUGAUUAAUUAAAUAAAUUAUAAUUGCUACUUAGAAGAGUAAUUAAAAUAAAAACCCAAUUGAUUAUUAUAAUUAAGGCCCAACCACUUAAUAAACUGAGCCCAAUUAAUUAAAACUAACCUAAGCCCAAGCCCCAAGCCCACUAUCAACCUCUAAUUUAAACUCACACCCAACUCCACUCCACACAUUCACACGCAGCUCACUCCCUCUCUCCCUUCCUCCCUCGGCCUUCUUCCUCUCGGCCUCUUGCCGCCGCACCUCCGGACGGCAGCGCCGUCAGCGCAGACCGGCGGCUCCGCCGCCUCUCCCUCUUCUUCCUAUCUCCCUCUUCCCUCACUCUCACUCCCUCUGUCCCUCUCCUCACCGCGUCUCCCCCUUCUCCGGCGACCCUCGCCGUCUGCCAGCACCUCCUCCUGGCCGUCAGCAGCGGCACCCUUGUCGCCGCCGUGUCGACAGCACAAGCCGGUCAGGCCGCCUUCUCCCUCUUCCUGAAAAGAGACGCACAGCCGAGACCAUAGCGCCGCCGCCCUGCUCCUUCCGCCACCACCCCCUGCUUCCUUCCGCCGGCCGCCAUGGCGCGCAGCGCCGGCGGUACUGCUGCUCAACCACCCCUCCCCCUGUUCUAAGCCACAACCCCCUUUCCAGUUCAUUCUUUCUAUUUUCCUUUUCUUCUUGUAAAGCAGUGAAUAUGCAUGUUUGAAUUAGAAAAAAAAUAAGAACUUUUGUGGGUGUUUGGUUUUGUGCAGAGAUGAACAACAGUAAAUGAAAUAACUUUGUAAAAUCAAUUAAAAUUUACCAGCUUGGAUUCUGUAAUGAGAGAUGGAAAUGGGUUUGUAUGCUGUAGGCGAAACAGACGAGGAAAAGGCGAAUUGGGGGACGAUGAUUUGAGGUUAAAUAGAGCUGCAAGAUUAAGUUUUUACCACAAAAAUGAAACGUGAGCUGCUUGUUCACGUAAGAAAAUUUGUGGAUGAUAAAGGAACCAAAAUUGUGGUUGAGAAAACUGGACGUGCUCCCCAAG
This 2578-nucleotide long non-coding RNA is filed under the name Salvia miltiorrhiza (redroot sage). RNAcentral's name for it is "long non-coding RNA (SMIL_LNC007738)". Lineage: Eukaryota; Viridiplantae; Streptophyta; Magnoliopsida; Lamiales; Lamiaceae. The record is from RNAcentral.